This 1496-nucleotide long non-coding RNA is filed under the name Vulpes vulpes (red fox). Its description in RNAcentral is "lncRNA (ENSVVUG00000018807.1)". The record is from RNAcentral. Lineage: Eukaryota; Metazoa; Chordata; Mammalia; Carnivora; Canidae.
AUGACCUCUGACACCAUAAAAAUUCCGUAAAAUGAUUUAUUUCACAAACUGUAAUGCAGAGAGAACACUGCUGGAAGUGGCUGGCUUUGGUACUGGUCUAGAUUUCUGGCCGUAGGUGGAGUAAAAGCAGGGUGUCUUGGCGGAGUCAGCGAUUGCCUGUUGGAGGGAAGAGGGCAUGCAAACGAUCCAGGACAUUCAGAAGGUUCUCGGCCACCACAGCCUGUGUGCCCUGCUCCUUCUCACCCUCAGGAGUCUCCAGGAGGCUGAGCACCUGCAUGCAGCUAGAGGAGUGCCUCCCACAGUGGCCAGGAUGCUCGGACCUGGGGCCCAUGUGACACAGAAGCCCAGAGACCUCAGGCACCCCCUUGACACCUCUUUGUGGCGAGAACACAUAGGAGCAAACGGAGCCCUGCCCGGACUGUACUACAGCCACUCGUGGACCUCGCGGGGCCACCUGGUGGUCUUUUCCCUGGUCCCAGAUGUAAUUAUGUGGUAAUUAGCCUAUCCCGGCACCGAUUCCUCUUUGGCAGGUUAAGUGAAAACCACUAAGAUGUCCCCGUGCUAACCAAGAGGGAGGAUGAGAGCGAUUCUGCACCUGGGGGAGCAUCCAGAAAUUGGUGCCACCCUAAGAGACCUAAAGGAAGCAGGACGGUGGAUUUCUCCAUUUAAUUCUAUCUGCCACCCCUGGCACAGAUCAGAGACAGCCUGAGGAUGUGUGUGGGCCACGCCAUCCCACAUGUGAUAUGCUGGACAUAGGAUAUUUGGUGUGUUCUUUUCCAUCUCUACCAGAAAGAGGGUCGGAGGCAGCUUGCCCUCCCUGGGAACAGACAUGAGCACAUGUUUACAUUCUUCCGCCAGGGCUGUGGUUUCCACCUCUGCACUGAGGUAGCCCACACUGACCUGGGUCAGCUGGGCAUCAACUGGGUACACUAGAUUGAUGGCAUCAAGCCGUUUGCACCUAAUGGGUGGGAGGUGGCUAGUGCACAGGGUCCCCAGCCUCAGAGGGUGUGAGCUAAGGCUGACUGAAAUUCUGGUGUCCACUGCAUGGGUAGAGUGACUAGGGGGCUAGAUACAGGGAGCGGGGGCAUCCAUUCAGAGUAACAGACAGCUUGUCCUGUCUUGCAGUUCUCACUGCUGAGAAGGAACAAUAAUCCUUACAUCUCUUGGGUUCUGGAGGCAGGAUCUUCCCUGUUGAGGAAUAUUGCUUCAACGUAUAACCUGGAGGUUGAGAAAGGUGGCCAGUUUAUGUGGGGAAAGAGCCUUGUCCUCUGGGCCAUGUGACCUAGGAGACAUUAUGCAUUAGAGUCUCUGUUGUAGAAAAAAGAUGCCACACAGAGCUCACAGCGAACAUGGAGGGGACAGUCUCUUCACCAGGGUUGAGAGAGGGCCAUGCCAUCGCAGUGGAGAAUGAUGCACCUGCAGAGAAGCAGCCCUUGGCUCUUACUGGCUCUGCUAAUGUGGAGCAUCGAACCACAGCUACCAGCAGGCCAUGUGAC